Molecule: ribosomal RNA, 820 nt
Filed under: Lactiplantibacillus plantarum
Lineage: Bacteria; Bacillati; Bacillota; Bacilli; Lactobacillales; Lactobacillaceae
Description: bacterial SSU rRNA
Rfam family: Bacterial small subunit ribosomal RNA
Source: RNAcentral
CUGAUGGAGCACGCCGCGUGAGUGAAGAAGGGUUUCGGCUCGUAAAACUCUGUUGUUAAAGAAGAACAUAUCUGAGAGUAACUGUUCAGGUAUUGACGGUAUUUAACCAGAAAGCCACGGCUAACUACGUGCCAGCAGCCGCGGUAAUACGUAGGUGGCAAGCGUUGUCCGGAUUUAUUGGGCGUAAAGCGAGCGCAGGCGGUUUUUUAAGUCUGAUGUGAAAGCCUUCGGCUCAACCGAAGAAGUGCAUCGGAAACUGGGAAACUUGAGUGCAGAAGAGGACAGUGGAACUCCAUGUGUAGCGGUGAAAUGCGUAGAUAUAUGGAAGAACACCAGUGGCGAAGGCGGCUGUCUGGUCUGUAACUGACGCUGAGGCUCGAAAGUAUGGGUAGCAAACAGGAUUAGAUACCCUGGUAGUCCAUACCGUAAACGAUGAAUGCUAAGUGUUGGAGGGUUUCCGCCCUUCAGUGCUGCAGCUAACGCAUUAAGCAUUCCGCCUGGGGAGUACGGCCGCAAGGCUGAAACUCAAAGGAAUUGACGGGGGCCCGCACAAGCGGUGGAGCAUGUGGUUUAAUUCGAAGCUACGCGAAGAACCUUACCAGGUCUUGACAUACUAUGCAAAUCUAAGAGAUUAGACGUUCCCUUCGGGGACAUGGAUACAGGUGGUGCAUGGUUGUCGUCAGCUCGUGUCGUGAGAUGUUGGGGUUAAGUCCCGCAACGAGCGCAACCCUUAUUAUCAGUUGCCAGCAUUAAGUUGGGCACUCUGGUGAGACUGCCGGUGACAACCGGAAGAAGGUGGGGAUGACGUCCAAUCAUCAUG